Molecule: unclassified non-coding RNA, 334 nt
Filed under: uncultured fungus
Lineage: Eukaryota; Fungi
Description: sequence contains ITS1, 5.8S rRNA gene
Rfam family: 5.8S ribosomal RNA (bases 286-334)
Source: RNAcentral
UUUCCGUAGGUGAACCUGCGGAAGGAUCAUUAAAGUAUGAACUUGAAGGUUUGAGGCUGGCCUUAUAGGCAUGUGCGCACCUUCACUUUCUUAUUCCACAUACACCUGUGCACCUAUACAGUUCAGAGUUGGCUUCCGAGGAGUUAUACUCCACGAGCCGUUUCCAUAUGAUUGCUGCUUCGCCAGCCUAUGGUUACUGGGGCCGCUCGCUCUGUUUCAUAUACCCCAUAAGAGUAAUUUAAACGCAUGUCUUUUGUGAGCUCUAAGGAGCUUUAACAAACUUACAACUUUCAACAACGGAUCUCUUGGCUUCCACAUCGAUGAAGAACGCAGC